Non-coding RNA from Myotis lucifugus (little brown bat), 415 nucleotides. The record is from the annotation of a RefSeq genome assembly. Lineage: Eukaryota; Metazoa; Chordata; Mammalia; Chiroptera; Vespertilionidae.
ACGGGCUGCGCUCACCAUGGCCUGGACCCCUGUGCUCCUCGUGCUCCUCGCUCACUGCACAGGGUCCCUCUCCCAGCUUGUGCUGACUCAGCCGCCCUCCCUCUCUGCAUCUCUGGGAGCCACAGCCAGACUCACCUGCACCCUGAGCAGUGGCUUCAAUGUUGGCGGCUAUGGCAUAAGCUGGAUCCAGCAGAAGCCCGGGAGCCCUCCCCGGUACCUGCUGUACUACCACACAGACUCCCAUAAGGACCAGGGCUCCGGGGUCCCCAGCCGCUUCUCUGGAUCCAAAGACGCCUCGGCCAAUGCGGGGCUCCUGACCAUCUCGGGGCUACAGCCUGAGGACGAGGCUGACUAUUACUGCGUUACAGAUCAUGCCAGUGGGAGCAGCUUUCGUUACACACAGUGUCUCAGAUGA